AUGCUGACUUUUAAUCCACAGAAGUGCAUCUGUUCCUUUCGAUCCCCCUCCUGUGGUACUCUUUUUACUAAGUUUUCUAUGAACAGUUGUGGCUGCAUCCUCCGACCACCACUGAUAGAGUUGCGCUGCCAUGCUUUUGAUGAUCAGAUGAAGAAUGGAUUGAAAUUGCUCCAAAAUGGGGAGUGAAGCUCAUCAGACAGCAUGCUUGUCUUGAAGAGGACCUGAGUUUGACUCCUAUAUUCACACCAGGAAGCUCACAACUGCUUGUAACUCCAGUUUCAGGGGCAUCUGAUGCCCCCGGUCUCUGUGAACACCUGACAUGCACAUACCCCCAUACAUACAUAUAAUUAAAAAUUAAAGAAAUCUUUAUAAAAGAAAUAUUCCCAAAAUGAUGAUGCAAAGUCAGUCUUUUAAGUUGUCCCUGUCAGGAAUUUUGGCCACAGUGAUACAGAAGUAACAGAUACAGGACCGUUCAUGCAAGGUACAGUAGGGGUAGCUACGAGGUCAAGAAAGACAGCUUCCUUGAAUUUCCAGGCCAGAGUAGGUGGCCAUCUAGGGCUCUCCUUAUGUGACUAUAUGAGUGUCACAAUUGGGUCUGAUACUUGCUGCUAGCUUCCUACCUGGCAGUGUGAUUGUUGAAGAGAUCCAUUGCCCUCAUCUCUUCUUAAGAUGAUACCCAUCCCUUAAAUAUAUCCUAAAAUCAGUCACCAGUUUGCUUAGGUUGAGUUGCAGCAAUACCCAAUUUGAAGCAAAUAAAAUGGAAAACUGGAAAUGAAAAUGAAGUAUUUAUCCUAAGUUGGAGAUGUUUUCUUGAUUGUAGAGGAGAGCUUACUGCCAUCCUUUGGCCCUUAGCAUGUUGUAACAUAUAACCCCUGCCCACAAAGAACUGGGGAAAAUCAUUCCAAUGAAGCUGGGUACACCAUACCUUGCAACUAGGAUUCACUUGCUAUCAAACACUGCAUGUCCAAUAGUAAAAUUUACUCAAUAAAAAUUUUAAGUUAUAUAUAGAUGAAAGUUAAAGGUGGAAUGUUUUAGCACAUUUUUCUUUAAUUGCCUUUACCCUGGGAAACAUAAAAUGUUGGAUAUAUCUAAGCACAAUACAAAAACAUUGGAUGCUAAGCAUGUGUCUGCCAGGAAAAACAAUCUUGAUAGUUUAUGAUGCAAAGGAUCCUAGACUUGUCUACCUGGGAAAUCAUGGAUUUUUUUGACAAACAAUUAAGUGGGAAAAAAGAAACAUUUUAGUUUGAGUAAGAGCUAACAUUUCCUUUAAUUCCUUAAGCUGUAAUAGUGGAGAGGCACCUUAAAAUGCCCUUCCUCUAUAAUAAGAUUGAUGACUACCUUAAAUUCCAUCCUAGAGCCUUCAUCCAGUAGCUGAUGGAAGCAGAAGUAGAGAGUCAUAGCUAAACACGGAGAUGAACUCCUGGAAUCCAGUUGUAGAGAGGGAGGAGUGAUGAGCAAAGGGGUCAAAACCAUGUUGGGGAAACCCACAGAAACACUGACCUGAGCAAGUGGGAGUGCAUGGACCCCAGUCUGACAGUUGGGGAACCAACAUAGGUCCAAACCAGGCCCCCUGAAUGUGGGUGUCAGUUGGGAGACCAAGGCAGUCUAUGGGACCUCUGGCAGUGGAACCAGUGUUUAUCACUAGUGCAUGAACAGGCUUUGAGAGACCAUUCCCUAUUGAGGGAUACUCUCUCAGCCUAGAUACAUGGGGGAGUACCUAGCCCCUGCCCCACGUGAUGUGACAGCCCUUGAUGACCCCCCAUGGGAGGCCUCACCCUCCCUGGAGGGUGGAUGGGGGGUUGGUGUGGGACAUGGGAGGAUGGGAGGGAGAGGGAACUGGGAUCAGUAUGUAAAAUAAGAUUGUUUUAAUUAAAAUAAAAAGAAAAUAAACAAAUUAAGAAAUUUACCAGAUAAAAAAUUCCUUAAGCUGUGACUAUAAUUUAUUAGCAGAAAAUUUGGGGCUAUAAAUUCAUGAUAUAAUUAUAAAACUAGAAGAUAGAUUUUUCACAUACUGCUCAUGAGUACAUCUUAUAUAUUACUGCCAUAAUCAAAUAUUAC
This 2058-nucleotide long non-coding RNA is filed under the name Cricetulus griseus (Chinese hamster). RNAcentral describes it as "lncRNA (ENSCGRG00000024387.1)". Lineage: Eukaryota; Metazoa; Chordata; Mammalia; Rodentia; Cricetidae. The record is from RNAcentral.